Rhipicephalus sanguineus (brown dog tick) is the source of this 243-nucleotide long non-coding RNA. RefSeq lists it as uncharacterized. NCBI's taxonomy places the organism in Eukaryota, Metazoa, Arthropoda, Arachnida, Ixodida, Ixodidae. The record is from RefSeq and is a predicted model, not a curated record. The transcript is spliced from 7 exons.
CCAGUUUACCAAAAGGUGCCAGUGGAAGUCCCCGUGUACCGGGACCGAAUACAUAAGGUGCCAGUUUACCGAAACGUUCCUUACCCUGUAUAUGUCCAUCCACCCAAGCAAGUGUACCACCAUCCACCAAGGCCUGUUUACCACCGUAAGUAAACACUGACUUUGAUUUGCGCACAACGACCCAUUGUUGUACACUAGUGCUCUUGCGACAAUAGGCGCGACUGUAGUGCAUGUCGGCAUGAU